AGCAUGCUCGACUAGAUGCAAGAGCCUAUCAAAGCAAUUAAACAUGUAGCAACAAAAGCAAGCCACCAAGGGGAAGGGGAAAUGGACAGAUGCUCUCCGAGCCCUAUCUAUUACAAGCCAAGAGGUGUACACAUACCCCAUAAAAGCAUAAAGGGGAAAGGGAAAUGGACAGAUGCUCUCCGAGCACUAUCUAUUACAAGCCAAGAGGUGUACACAUACCCCAUAAAAGCAUAAAAGGGAAGGGGAAAUGGACAGAUGCUCUUCGAGCCCUAUCUAUUACAAGCCAAGAGGUGUACACAUACCCCAUAAAAGCAUAAAGGGGAAAGGGAAAUGGACCAGAUGCUCUUCGAGCCCUAUCUAUUACAAGCCAAGAGGUGUACACAUACCCCAUAAAAGCAUAAAGGGGAAAGGGAAAUGGACCAGAUGCUCUUCGAGCCCUAUCUAUUACAAGCCAAGAGGUGUACACAUACCCCAUAAAACUUAAAUAAAAGUAGAAAGCAAGUAAAUG
Molecule: long non-coding RNA, 508 nt
Filed under: Coffea arabica (coffee)
Lineage: Eukaryota; Viridiplantae; Streptophyta; Magnoliopsida; Gentianales; Rubiaceae
Description: long non-coding RNA (CARA_LNC008390)
Source: RNAcentral